GGUCCCCUCGUCUAAAUGGCAAGGACACAGCCCUUUCAAGGCUGAAAUGCUCGGUUCAACUCCGGCGGGGAUUA
This 74-nucleotide transfer RNA is filed under the name Butyrivibrio sp. RNAcentral describes it as "tRNA-Glu". It matches the Rfam family "tRNA". From Rfam's summary of the family: Transfer RNA (tRNA) molecules are approximately 80 nucleotides in length. Their secondary structure includes four short double-helical elements and three loops (D, anti-codon, and T loops). Further hydrogen bonds mediate the characteristic L-shaped molecular structure. tRNAs have two regions of fundamental functional importance: the anti-codon, which is responsible for specific mRNA codon recognition, and the 3' end, to which the tRNAs corresponding amino acid is attached (by aminoacyl-tRNA synthetases). tRNAs cope with the degeneracy of the genetic code in two manners: having more than one tRNA (with a specific anti-codon) for a particular amino acid; and 'wobble' base-pairing, i.e. permitting non-standard base-pairing at the 3rd anti-codon position. Lineage: Bacteria; Bacillati; Bacillota; Clostridia; Lachnospirales; Lachnospiraceae. The record is from RNAcentral.